Mustela erminea (ermine) is the source of this 754-nucleotide long non-coding RNA. RefSeq lists it as uncharacterized. The transcript is spliced from 3 exons. NCBI's taxonomy places the organism in Eukaryota, Metazoa, Chordata, Mammalia, Carnivora, Mustelidae. The record is from RefSeq and is a predicted model, not a curated record.
AGGCACCCUGGAGUUACCACUCUUAAAAGAGCUUUUUUUCCUGCAUUUCCCGUUACUAGAUACAGGGAAGUGAUAUUUUUUUGUUGUUACUGGAUUAUUCAGUUCUGAAAUUUGCAUAUGGUUUUUCUUUAUGCCUUCUGUUUCUGUACUAAGACUUUCUGUCUUUCCAUUCAGCAGUGAGUGUUUGACCUCAUUUGUUUCGUCAUUUUUAUAAUAGCUUCUCCAGUGUCUUUGAUAGGUCUAAAAUCUGUCUCAUGUUGUUGAUUAUCUUUUCCUAACUGAAUUAAGGCUUUUCCUGGUUUUUUAUAUGCUGAGUAAUUCUGGAUUAUAUUCCAGACAUUUUUAAUAUUAUGUUAUGAGUUUUUUAGUCUCUUUAAAUCCUAUGCAGAGGUUGAUACAUUUGUUGUAUUCAGUCAUUGUAUUAGAUCAUUGAUUCUGAUCAUUUAGGCAGCAAGUUCCAAUCCAUCUUCUUCUGGUUGUGGUUCCAGUGUCAGUUGAGUUUCCAAAGCCUGUGCACUGUUAUUUGAUCUGUUUCAUGUGUGCACCACCCAGUGGCCAGUGUGGAACUUGGACAGUGCUCUAUCCGGAAUUUAAGUCUCAGACUUUGUUGUGAUGUUUAAAUUCCAGUCCAUGAAUGUGCUGUUAAGAGGUAAACCCAGGAGUCAAAAAGAACUUUGCUGCACUCCUCCCUCCUCUCAUCGUCCAUAGUACUUUCCCUUUCCCUGGAGCUGCCAUUUUCACUUUCACUUACCAC